AAGAGAAUGAACAAAGAUUUCAAUAUCUAGUAUGUCCAGCAGAGAUGCAACUUGUACAAAAAAUAAAGAAGUAGAGAUGCACACAGCUCCCCUGACAACAUUGUGUCCCAAAGCAAUGUCUUCUGUGACCCUCUUUAAGGAGCUCACUGUCUCUCACCACAUGGGCAAGUGCUUCCAGGGUCUCUCAAUUCCUCAACGGGAGACAACACACAUUUUAACACAGUACCUCAGCAAAGGAAGUGGUGAUAAUUUACCUACUUUGAUAAAGUUCCUGAAAAGAUCCCUAGACAGCAAAAUUUCCUGCUGAAAGAACACAGAAAAGACUUUUCUGUGUUCACAACACAGAAAUGGACCUCCUUGCUUUUCAAAAAAGUACCCUUGAAAUAGCCAAAACAAUUUUGCCAAAACAAAUUGUAGAACUUGAACUUUCUUAUUUGAAAUCUCACAAAACAUUACAACUAUUAAAAACAGAAGCUGCUGGCAUAAGAAUACAAAUAGGGACCAAAGGGAUAGAAUCGAGAGUCCAGAAAUAAAUCCUCACCCUUAUAGUUCAUUGCUCUUGCAUAAGGGUGUCAAGAUAAUUUAAUGGAGGAACAAUCAUCCUCUUAAAUAACGGUGCGGAAACAACUAGAUAACCACACGCAAAACAAUAAACUUAGAGAACUAUGCUUCCAACCAUAUCAAACAAUUAUCUAAAAAUAGAUCAGUGAGUUAAUUAUAAGAUCUAUAACCAUAAAAACAUAUUAGAAAGAGACAUAGGAGGUGCUUCCUGUGGCCGACAUCAUCUGGAGAUUUGCUUUCCUUUUCUCCAAAAGGGGAGGAAGUUGAAUCUGAGUGGCCCGCGAAGGGAAGAGGGGAAGCCCAGGGGUACAGGAGGCCUCUGGGUGAAUGCAGAGGCUAACAUGGGGUUCAGAGCAACCUUGACCGUUGGCCUGACCAUCUUUGUGCUGUCUGUCAUCACUAUCAUCACCUGCUUCACCUGCUCCUGCUGCUGCCUAUACAAGACCUGCCACUGACCACAUCCGGUUGUCACCACCAUCACAUCCACCACUGUGGUGCACACCCCUUAUCCUCAGCCUGCAAGUGUGCCGCCCAGCUACCCUGGAGCAAGCUACCAGGGCUACCACACCAUGCUGCCUCAGCCAGGGAUGCCAGCAGCACCCUACCCAAUGCAGUACCCACCACUUUACCCGGCCCAGCCCAUGGGCCUGCCAGCCUACCAUGAGACCCUGGCUGGAGGAGCAACCGCGCCCUACCUGGCCAGCCAGCCUCCUUAUAACCCGGCCUACAUGGAUGCCCCGAAGGCGGCCCUCUGAGCAUCCCCCGGCCUCUGUGGCUGCCACUUGGUUAUGUUGUGUGUGAGUGGUGUUCAGGCACGGUUCCUUAUGGCCCAGGUGUGCUGUG
Cercocebus atys (sooty mangabey) is the source of this 1404-nucleotide RNA transcript. It is a transcript of the gene named protein shisa-5 pseudogene, with no coding region annotated. NCBI's taxonomy places the organism in Eukaryota, Metazoa, Chordata, Mammalia, Primates, Cercopithecidae. The record is from RefSeq and is a predicted model, not a curated record. The transcript has a single exon.